ACUCAAAGGAAUUGACGGGGGCCCGCACAAGCGGAGGAACAUGUGGUUUAAUUCGAUGAUACGCGAGGAACCUUACCUGGGCUUAAAUGUAGGUUGCAUGAGGUGGAAACACUUCUUUCCUUCGGGACUACUUACAAGGUGCUGCAUGGUUGUCGUCAGCUCGUGCCGUGAGGUGUCGGGUUAAGUCCCAUAACGAGCGCAACCCCUGUUGUCAGUUGCCAGCAUGUAAUGAUGGGGACUCUGACAAGACUGCCGGUGUAAACCGUGAGGAAGGUGGGGAUGACGUCAAAUCAGCACGGCCCUUAUGUCCAGGGCUACACACGUGUUACAAUGGCCGAUACAGAGGGCAGCCACCUGGCGACAGGGCGCUAAUCCCAAAAGUCGGUCUUAGUUCGGAUCGGAGUCUGCAACUCGACUCCGUGAAGCUGGAUUCGCUAGUAAUCGCAGAUCAGCCAUGCUGCGGUGAAUACGUUCCCGGGCCUUGUACACACCGCCCGU
This 498-nucleotide ribosomal RNA is filed under the name uncultured bacterium. RNAcentral's name for it is "bacterial SSU rRNA". It matches the Rfam family "Bacterial small subunit ribosomal RNA", at positions 899 to 1397 of the family's 1533-position model. The record is from RNAcentral.